AGAGUUUGAUCCUGGCUCAGAUUGAACGCUGGCGGCAUGCUUUACACAUGCAAGUCGAACGGCAGCACGGGUGCUUUGCACUUGGUGGCGAGUGGCGGACGGGUGAGUAAUGCAUCGGAACGUGUCCUGAAGUGGGGGAUAACGCAUCGAAAGAUGUGCUAAUACCGCAUAUUCUCUGAGGAGGAAAGUAGGGGAUCGAAAGACCUUAUGCUUUUGGAGCGGCCGAUGUCUGAUUAGCUAGUUGGUAGGGUAAUGGCUUACCAAGGCGACGAUCAGUAGUUGGUCUGAGAGGACGACCAGCCACACUGGGACUGAGACACGGCCCAGACUCCUACGGGAGGCAGCAG
Molecule: ribosomal RNA, 347 nt
Filed under: uncultured Nitrosomonas sp.
Lineage: Bacteria; Pseudomonadati; Pseudomonadota; Betaproteobacteria; Nitrosomonadales; Nitrosomonadaceae
Description: bacterial SSU rRNA
Rfam family: Bacterial small subunit ribosomal RNA
Source: RNAcentral